Molecule: ribosomal RNA, 484 nt
Filed under: uncultured bacterium
Lineage: Bacteria
Description: partial 16S ribosomal RNA
Rfam family: Bacterial small subunit ribosomal RNA
Source: RNAcentral
AUUGAACGCUGGCGGCAGGCCUAACACAUGCAAGUCGAGCGGAUGAAGGGAGCUUGCUCCUGGAUUCAGCGGCGGACGGGUGAGUAAUGCCUAGGAAUCUGCCUGGUAGUGGGGGAUAACGUCCGGAAACGGGCGCUAAUACCGCAUACGUCCUGAGGGAGAAAGUGGGGGAUCUUCGGACCUCACGCUAUCAGAUGAGCCUAGGUCGGAUUAGCUAGUUGGUGGGGUAAAGGCCUACCAAGGCGACGAUCCGUAACUGGUCUGAGAGGAUGACCAGUCACACUGGAACUGAGACACGGUCCAGACUCCUACGGGAGGCAGCAGUGGGGAAUAUUGGACAAUGGGCGAAAGCCUGAUCCAGCCAUGCCGCGUGUGUGAAGAAGGUCUUCGGAUUGUAAAGCACUUUAAGUUGGGAGGAAGGGCAGUAAGUUAAUACCUUGCUAUUUUGACGUUACCAACAGAAUAAGCACCGGCUAACUUCGUG